Molecule: ribosomal RNA, 724 nt
Filed under: uncultured Fusobacterium sp.
Lineage: Bacteria; Fusobacteriati; Fusobacteriota; Fusobacteriia; Fusobacteriales; Fusobacteriaceae
Description: bacterial SSU rRNA
Rfam family: Bacterial small subunit ribosomal RNA
Source: RNAcentral
GAUGAACGCUGACAGAAUGCUUAACACAUGCAAGUCGACUCGAGUCUUUGGACUUGGGUGGCGGACGGGUGAGUAACGCGUAAAGAACUUGCCUCAUAGUCUGGGACAACAUUUGGAAACGGAUGCUAAUACCGGAUAUUAUGCUUUCUUCGCAUGGAGGAAGUAUGAAAGCUGUAUGCGCUAUGAGAGAGCUUUGCGUCCCAUUAGCUAGUUGGUGAGGUAACGGCCCACCAAGGCGAUGAUGGGUAGCCGGCCUGAGAGGGUGAACGGCCACAAGGGGACUGAGACACGGCCCUUACUCCUACGGGAGGCAGCAGUGGGGAAUAUUGGACAAUGGACCAAAAGUCUGAUCCAGCAAUUCUGUGUGCACGAUGACGUUUUUCGGAAUGUAAAGUGCUUUCAGUCGGGAAGAAGCAAGUGACGGUACCGACAGAAGAAGCGACGGCUAAAUACGUGCCAGCAGCCGCGGUAAUACGUAUGUCGCAAGCGUUAUCCGGAUUUAUUGGGCGUAAAGCGCGUCUAGGCGGCAAGGAAAGUCUGAUGUGAAAAUGCGGGGCUCAACUCCGUAUUGCGUUGGAAACUGCCUUACUAGAGUACUGGAGAGGUAGGCGGAACUACAAGUGUAGAGGUGAAAUUCGUAGAUAUUUGUAGGAAUGCCGAUGGGGAAGCCAGCCUACUGGACAGAUACUGACGCUAAAGCGCGAAAGCGUGGGUAGCAAACAGG